Molecule: small nucleolar RNA, 107 nt
Organism: Oryza sativa (Asian cultivated rice)
Lineage: Eukaryota; Viridiplantae; Streptophyta; Magnoliopsida; Poales; Poaceae
Rfam family: Plant small nucleolar RNA R71
About the family: R71 is a member of the C/D box family of snoRNAs containing the C (UGAUGA) and D (CUGA) box motifs.
Source: Rfam
AUCCCAUGAUGAGGAUAGGCGGCCACGUACUCCUGUAGUCGUUCCCAUGCUUCUGGAAUGGACUCGUCCCUUGUCUGCUGGAAACUGGAAAUUCGUCCACGAAGGAC